UCGAACGCGAAAGGGGCUUCGGCCCUGAGUAGAGUGGCGAACGGGUGAGUAACACGUGGGUGAUCUACCUCGAAGUGGGGGAUAACGUUCCGAAAGGAGCGCUAAUACCGCAUGACGUUCUGGGUUUGAAGACCUGGAAACCAAAGCUGGGGACCGCAAGGCCUGGCGCUUGGAGAGGAGCCCGCGCCUGAUUAGCUAGUUGGCGGGGUAAUGGCCCACCAAGGCGACGAUCAGUAGCCGGCCUGAGAGGGCGGACGGCCACACUGGGACUGAGACACGGCCCAGACUCCUACGGGAGGCAGCAGUGGGGAAUUGUUCGCAAUGGGCGCAAGCCUGACGACGCAACGCCGCGUGGAGGAUGAAGGCCUUCGGGUCGUAAACUCCUGUUGAUCGGGAAGAACGAGCUCUGGGCUAAUCACCGGAGCAGUGACGGUACCGAUUGAGGAAGCCACGGCUAACUCUGUGCCAGCAGCCGCGGUAAUACAGAGGUGGCAAGCGUUGUUCGGAAUUACUGGGCGUAAAGGGCGCGUAGGCGGCCGCCUAAGUCAGACGUGAAAUCCCCAAGCUUAACUUGGGAACUGCGUCUGAUACUGGGUGGCUUGAGUUCGGGAGAGGAAUGUGGAAUUCCAGGUGUAGCGGUGAAAUGCGUAGAUACCUGGAGGAACACCNGUGGCGAAGGCGGCAUUCUGGACCGAAACUGACGCUGAGGCGCGAAAGCUAGGGGAGCAAACGGGAUUAGAUACCCCGGUAGUCC
Molecule: ribosomal RNA, 754 nt
Filed under: uncultured bacterium
Lineage: Bacteria
Description: bacterial SSU rRNA
Rfam family: Bacterial small subunit ribosomal RNA
Source: RNAcentral